RNAcentral lists this unclassified non-coding RNA (2736 nucleotides) under Dendronephthya gigantea. Its description in RNAcentral is "chloride channel protein C-like, transcript variant X2". Lineage: Eukaryota; Metazoa; Cnidaria; Anthozoa; Malacalcyonacea; Nephtheidae. The record is from RNAcentral.
CUGAGGAAGAGGGUGACAUGAGUGCCACUGCAACUACGGAUACAAGCGAUGAAAACAGCGAAAAUAUUUCAAGGCGACGAGGAUUCGGAGUACGCUCUGGUUAUGCAGACGAGGACUCGCGACCUCCGGUUGCCCAGACGAGCUUCUUUCAAAAAGGACGUGAAUUUGAAAGCGCGUAUGACAACCACAAGUUUACAGAAAAGGAGAAACAACAGUUGGCAACGUACGACAGUCUUGACUAUUUCCCGCCGCACAGCGUCGUGUACAAGAAUUGGAUAAAACGUCAACCAGCUCGCCUUGAUUGGGACAGAUGGGUAAUGAUGGGUCUUAUUGGAUUCACUGUGGGCUUUGUUGGCUUUCUACUCCAUCAACUAAUUGACCUUAUCAUGGAUUUUAAAUGGGAAAUGGCCAAUGAAAUGAUAAAGGAAAAAGAAUAUGGCCUGGCAUGGUUCUGGGUGGUAGGAUAUAGUGUUAUCUUUGCUGUUCUUGGAUCAUCCAUGGUUGUGUUCUUUCGUCCAGCAGCAGCUGGUUCUGGCAUCCCAGAACUGAUUGGAUUUCUGAAUGGCACUAUCAUUCGUCGCAUUUUCAAUGUGAAGACAAUGGUAGUGAAAUUCUUCUCCUGCGUUUGUGCUGUGGCAUCAGGCUUGCCUGUUGGUCCAGAGGGUCCUAUGAUUCAUUUAGGUGGAUUGAUUGGUGCUGGUCUAAGCCAAUUUCGUUCCUCAACGCUCAAACUAAACCUUCCGUAUUUUCAAAGAUUUAGAAAUCCUGAAGACAGACGCAACUUUAUCUCGGCGGGAGCUGGUGCAGGUGUUGCGAGUGCUUUUGGUGCUCCUGUUGGUGGUCUGUUGUUUGCCAUGGAGGAAGUAUCAUCAUUUUGGAACAUGAAAUUAUCAUGGCAGAUUUUCUUUUGCACCAUGGUCGCCACCUUUACCACUGAUCUCUUUAACUCAGCUUUCAAAGGUUUCAAAUACGAAGAUGAUUUCGGUUUAUUUAAAGCAGAGCGAUACAUUCUCUUUCAGAUUGAUCACGGAGUCGCCCUACAUAUUCUCGUGUUUAUUCCAGUUGCCGUACUAGGAUUUUUGGGUGGGAUUUUAGGAGCGGUUUUUACUUUUAUCAAUUUAAAGAUUAACAGGUUCAGGAGAUAUCAUCUUGCAAGAAUAAAACGUAAAUGGCUGAAUAACUGUGUCCGAGUGUUUGAAGUGUUUUUGCUCAUGGUAAUCGUUGGAACAGUCGCUGUUUUCCUGCCAGCUCCUUUUCCAUGUUCUAAAUUUGAGUGUUCUUUUGAGGGAUCAAAAUUUGAUGAUGAGUGUUUGGUUGAGCAUCGCAGUCCAUUGCAUACAGAGAGAACUGUGAAUAAUUACACUUGUGAGGAAGGAAUAACGGUAAUGAUGAACGGAACGAAAUACACAAACGGUUCAUUCAACCAAGUUGCAACGCUGCUGUUUGCAAGUGGGGAGGAAGCAAUCCAUCAUCUCUUCUCAAGAGAUACUCAUAGAGAAUUCACAUACGGUCCAUUAUUGACCGUAUUAGUGGUGUAUUUUAUCUUGGCGUGUUGGGCGGCAGGAACGUCGAUUUCCAGCGGCCUUGUUGUGCCAAUGCUUUUUAUAGGUGGAACUUAUGGAAGAGUUAUUGGCAAGUUGAUGGUUGAUUUGUUUGGUGUUCACACAGAGGGUCAAUGGGCUUGGAUGGACCCUGGAGCCUUCGCCUUGAUUGGAGCGGCCUCGUUUUUUGGUGGGGUGUCCAGGUUGACCAUGUCUUUGACCGUCAUAAUGAUUGAAAUUACGAAUGAUAUUCAAUUCUUACUGCCAAUCAUGGUAGCAAUCAUGGUCUCAAAGUGGGUCGGAGAUUUCGUGACUCAUCCGUUGUAUCACGCGCUUCUUGAAUUCAAAUGUAUCCCUUUCUUGGACUCUGAACCUGUUGUGUUUACUCAUGGUGGAAAAAAGAAUGUUAAUUUAGAGUUGUAUCAAGCAAAAGAUGUUAUGUCUUCACCAGCUGAGGUGUUGCAUUUGUCAGUGAGUGUUCAACAGUUGGCCCGUGUGUUGCUAGAGACACCUCAUGGAGGAUUUCCUAUUGUGAAGAAACUACGCCAUGGUGAUGAAGUGUUUAUUGGACUCGUUACAAGGUUGGAUAUUAGUAUUCUGUUGUCGCAUAAGAAAUUCAGCAGCAGUGGUCCUCACAGCAGCCCUGAUGGAGCGCAGAAUUAUGAAAUAACUGAUGUGGAUUAUGAAAAGCUUUCCGUUACCUACCUUCCCAAUGCAGAUGAUUUAAACAACAAGUUACAUAAAUAUGUUGAUCAGGAACUAUAUGCUAAUAUUUUUGUUGACCUGUCACCUUAUGUCAACGACUCAGCUCUAAGUGUCCAAUCAAAUUUUUCACUGCACAGAACCUACAUUAUAUACCGAACCUUGGGAUUAAGGCAUUUGACUGUGGUUGAUAGAUGCAAUGGGGUAGUUGGAAUGAUUACCAGGAAAGACCUGAUGGGCUUCAAUCUUGAGGAGAAAAUUGGUCAAAUCAUUGAAAAGCAACAGGAACAUACACACAUUGAGAUGUCUGGACCUGUAUGAGACCAUGAUGAGACUGAUGCAUGAUAUCUUGUGAUUCCAGAAGCCAUAAAUAGCUGAGCUGAUGCACUCUUAAGUUCAGCAAAAUGUAUAUAUGCCCUACUGCCUCGAAAUCAUUGAUAAAAUGACACAUCUGAAAGCUUCAGAACACAAGUGAAUGGAAAAGGAAGGUGAA